ACCCGUUCCCAUACCGAACACGGAAGUUAAGCUUCUCAGCGCCGAUGGUAGUUGGGACCUUGUCCCUGUGAGAGUAGGACGUUGCCAGGC
RNAcentral lists this ribosomal RNA (90 nucleotides) under Neobacillus cucumis. The record is from RNAcentral. Lineage: Bacteria; Bacillati; Bacillota; Bacilli; Caryophanales; Bacillaceae.